Molecule: ribosomal RNA, 497 nt
Filed under: uncultured bacterium
Lineage: Bacteria
Description: partial 16S ribosomal RNA
Rfam family: Bacterial small subunit ribosomal RNA
Source: RNAcentral
GAUGAACGCUGGCGGCGUGCCUAAUACAUGCAAGUCGAGCGAACAGACGAGGAGCUUGCUCCUCUGACGUUAGCGGCGGACGGGUGAGUAACACGUGGAUAACCUACCUAUAAGACUGGGAUAACUUCGGGAAACCGGAGCUAAUACCGGAUAAUAUAUUGAACCGCAUGGUUCAAUAGUGAAAGACGGUUUUGCUGUCACUUAUAGAUGGAUCCGCGCCGCAUUAGCUAGUUGGUAAGGUAACGGCUUACCAAGGCGACGAUGCGUAGCCGACCUGAGGGAGUGAUCGGCGACACUGGAACUGAGACACGGUCCAGACUCCUACGGGAGGCAGCAGUAGGGAAUCUUCCGCAAUGGGCGAAAGCCUUACGGAGCAACGCCGCGUGAGUGAUGAAGGUCUUCGGAUCGUAAAACUCUGUUAUUAGGGAAGAACAAAUGUGUAAGUAACUAUGCACUUCUUGACGGUACCUAAUCAGAAAGCCACGGCUAACUACGUG